RNAcentral lists this long non-coding RNA (336 nucleotides) under Parus major (Great Tit). RNAcentral describes it as "lncRNA (ENSPMJG00000015842.1)". Lineage: Eukaryota; Metazoa; Chordata; Aves; Passeriformes; Paridae. The record is from RNAcentral.
CACUGAGAAUUGCUGCUGAAAGUUUUUAAAAAGGGAGCUCUGACCUCAGUGGAACUUGUCCUCCCAGUAGGGGUUCUGAAGACUGGAACUCACAAGAGGAAGAUAAACUAUUACAGUCUUGGUGCAGAUUUGCCUCCUUCCCCGAGAUGGAAAAUUUACACUAACUAGUGGAGUGGCUGUGUGCUCUCUCCCUUGAGCAGAAAACAAACAAUGAAGACUGCAUACCCUGGAGACUGGGGUUGAUAUCUGAGGAGCACUGGCAUCUUUAUCUUAAAAAACAUCCCACUCUGUAAUUCCUUCUUGAUUGGUGAACUGACGUCAAACAGGGUGAACAGA